UACAGAGGUCUCGAGCGUUAGGCGGAAUCACUGGGCUUAAAGCGUGUGUAGGCGGGUCGUUAAGUGUCUUGUGAAAUCCCCCGGCUCAACCGGGGAAUGGCUGGGCAUACUGGCGAUCUUGAGCAGUUCAGGGGCAGAUGGAACAAGUGGUGGAGCGGUGAAAUGCGUAGAUAUCACUUGGAACGCCAAAGGUGAAAACAGUCUGCUGGGAACUUGCUGACGCUGAGACACGAAAGCCAGGGGAGCGAACGGG
This 253-nucleotide ribosomal RNA is filed under the name uncultured bacterium. RNAcentral describes it as "partial 16S ribosomal RNA". It matches the Rfam family "Bacterial small subunit ribosomal RNA", at positions 524 to 776 of the family's 1533-position model. The record is from RNAcentral.